RNAcentral lists this ribosomal RNA (303 nucleotides) under uncultured bacterium. RNAcentral describes it as "partial 16S ribosomal RNA". It matches the Rfam family "Bacterial small subunit ribosomal RNA", at positions 507 to 808 of the family's 1533-position model. The record is from RNAcentral.
AGCAGUAGCCCGGUAAUACGGAGGAUCCAAGCGUUAUCCGGAAUCAUUGGGUUUAAAGGGUCCGUAGGCGGUCUUGUAAGUCAGUGGUGAAAGCCCAUCGCUCAACGGUGGAACGGCCAUUGAUACUGCAGGACUUUAAUUAUUGGGAAGUAACUAGAAUAUGUAGUGUAGCGGUGAAAUGCUUAGAGAUUACAUGGAAUACCAAUUGCGAAGGCAGGUUACUACCAAUUGAUUGACGCUGAUGGACGAAAGCGUGGGUAGCAAUCAGGAUUAGAUACCCCGGUAGUCCCUGUCUCUUAUACA